GCAUCAAUACUUCUACCGCCUGCUUUGACUAGCCACCAGAAAUCAAAUCAAAAUUGGGUUACAAUCAAUCGGCUGUAGUUACGAACUAUAGGUUAUUAUUCUAUAUAUAGCUAAAUGUAAGUUAUGCUGAGCUGACUAGAGAAUUUGUAAUGUUAUGCUGAUUGCGCUUCACCAGUGUUAUUUUUAGCUAGAUGCCUCUGUCUGAUUCGCACGGUAACGUUCCUUCGUUUUGAGACUAUAGAUGCUUGUUGAAGCAAGCUAGUAAGUUUUCUAUGAAGGAACAAUUCAGCCAAGUUUCUUCAUGGCACCUCAUCUCUAGGGUAUAUAUCGACGGGGCUUGUUUAGUAUAUGCAUGCUAGUCUUACGGUGCCAUUUUUCAGUUUGGUGGAUGGUGGAUCUGCUUUACAUUUGCCUAUGCUCAACGCAAUCAACCAUGAAUGUUUUCUCUGUUUUCUACUUUCUUAUUUAUUUAUUUCUGCUAGUUUCACUUCUGUGCUACUUUUACUCCCUUUCGCAAAUGUCUAAACAAAUGCAGGAAACCUGACCUAUAUUUCAUCGAUAUGCUUUGUUUUAAUGCUUGUUGAUUCAUCGUAAUGUACUAAUUUGUUCUUUAUUUAAACCCACGGCAUUGAUGGCAUGGUGGCGAGACAUGGGCACUUAAUUAUUUUCAAUAUGCUCCUAUUAUUGGUACGGCCCAAUGGGGCAUUUAUAUAACACACAAGAGGGUUGUAUUUACUGUCAUUCUCAGCAUGGAAGGAGAGGUUUUCUGUCGAGUGGUAUUUGUGUUUGUUGUUUACAUGAUUGAUAAUUUGGUAGCGCACAUUUAGCAUGGACUUACAGUUGCACUUUUAUGUAUUUUCUUGGGUUACCAUGUAUCCAGAUUGUUCUAGCCUGCUUACCCAGCCUUUUGGGCUUUUAGAUAAACUAACGACUGUCAGUUGGGUCGAGAAAACGCAAUAGCUUUGCGACUCAACGCAUCAAUAGAAACAAAAUAGUUCUAUUAGAGGCCUAGGAGCUAGGCAUGAACACACAUAACCCAGCUAUCAAGUUGCAUUUCCCAAUUUUGUGACAGCUGUUGGACCCGGGCAGCAUCUGCCAAGGCCCAUUUCUUUGUCUUAGCCUCUGCCUCUGCCUGGUUGGUUGGAGAUUUAUAUCAGAACUACUCUGCGUAAAACAUUUCUGAUCUGUAUGAGUAUGAUGGUGUGGGCUUAACAUGGCCCACUCCUCGUGUAAUCCUGCAUCAUACUGAAAUCGGAUGAGUAAUCGCCGCACACAUAGCAUUAUCCAAUUUUUAUUACCACACUGCUCAUCCUUGUCUCCAUCUGUCUUGUGCUUAGCAAUGGACUAAGACUUGGCCCUCUCUUCUGGCCUCCUAACCUUGUGAAUGAUGAUGGACAGCCUUUGUCUUAUGGUGAUCACUGAUCAAGCAUAUCAUUUCCUUGUGUAUUGACAUGGGUAGAAGACACAGAUUACAACCUACUGAUUAGCUUCUAUAUGACCAUCUACACCACAUACUCAAUUUUGCAUUGGUUGGGGAUGGAGGUGAACAGACGCACAGACCCCUUGACCACAGCACGACCUAGUAGUUGUUUUGGUUUUGAAGUACAUAAAUUUUUCUACCCCUUAUGCAUUAGGUAAGCCUGAACCUGAACCUGUCCCAACUCAGCUGCAGCUUAUCCAAAAAAUUUAGGAAGAUGAAGUGAGUGGAAUAGAAUAGGAAGAUUUUUAGUAGGUUGUAAUUGUACUACUUCCUCCGUCCAACAAAAGAUGUCUCAAGUUUGUCAAAAUUUGGAUGUAUCUAGACAUGACUUAGUAUAUAGAUGCAUUCAAAUUUGGUCAAAGUUGAGACAUCCUUUGUUGGACGGAGGGAGUAUAUUCAAUAUUCCUAUAGAAAAAUAUGCAAGAAGCCUUCUUUAAAAACGGCCAGUUCGUAGGGAAGGUAGGCAAACCGUCCUAGCCAUGCCAUUUCAGUUUUGAAAUCUAUUGUUAAUCAAGGUACUGUUCUGGGGAAAGUACAGUUAAUUUUUUAUCUGGAUUGGUUUAUCACAGUUUUUAGUUAAUUUCACAGUUCCACUUGACGCCUUCUGUUUGAUCCUAAAGUAUCUGGGUUGUGGAAGUUAAGGCACCGUUUCAUCCUGGACACGCUGUUUUACUUAUGAAAUCUGUAUUAACCAAGGGCACUGUUUGGAAAAAGUAUACUCAAAGUUGAUGGGUUGUAUAUAUGUGGACUGUUUUAUCCCAGUUUCUUGUUAGCUUUCAAUUGUGUGCUUCAACUGUGCUUCUAUUAGUGUUCCUGUUAUUUGUGAUUGUUUAAUUACCAUCGAGCAUAUACUGAGAUUACACCAGCUUAUUUGUUAUGUCUUCAGUGUUUAACUAUGUUCCAUGCCACGUGUCAUAUCUGCCUUUACACACAGCAUAACUGUGCAUCAGUGGCACUAGUUGAACAUAUCUACAGUAUUUUAGACUAAAUAAGUACGAAUACUACAAUUUUGACAAACUAGAGUAUUUUGAAGUAUUAAAAAUACUUUGGAACUGUUUGGCGCUCUGUUUACCCUCUCCCUCCACUACCCUGCCGACCAAACUCAACCUAGAAACUCUAGCGAGCCUGGCACUAGCAGCAAUGACGGUGGAGCAGACCUUCAUCAUGAUCAAGCCCGAUGGCAUCCAAAGCCAUGAAGCUCCAGAACGUGGAGAAGUCAUUCGCUGAGCAGCAGCACGUCGAUCUAUCCUCCAAGCCAUUCUUCGGUGGGCUCGUUGACUACAUCAUCUCUGAGCGCCAGCACGCUUCGCAACCCCAGAAAUCCAUCGGUCUGCAAUCUUCUACAGGCAACAACGGCAGCUGCACUCCUGCUCCAUCCUCGCACAAUGCCACGCCUGCCUCCAGCCAAAGCAGUGGCUUCUUCGGCAUGGCUCCGCAGCCCAACUUGCCACUGGAGGCCUUGUUCUCCACGUCCUCCCGCUCCAGUGGCCCUUCACCCACUGCCGCCUCUGAGUGGCACCCGCCCGGGGCGCCCCCUGGUCAUAGAUCCACAGUGCCGGCGCUGGGAAAUUGGGGGGGGGGAGAGAGAGAGCAAGAUGAAUGGAAGAGGUCAGAUGUCACCGUUUUUGUAUCGAUGGAGAUGAUAGGCUGCAGCGUCUCGAUGAAGAUACAGAGGGACGAGUUGUUACUCCGAGCCAGUGUUUUUCCUUCGUAUGCUGUAAAAAGUAAAGAGGUCCAGGCCUCUUUUUUUAUACAGAGAAAAUACCUCAGUUUUGGAAAUACUCUAGUAUUCAAAAUACAGUUUUUUGGGGCAUCCAAACACCUCAAUGUAUAUAAAGCCGAGGUUAAAUUAAAUAUUGUAGUAUUCUCACAAUACUGUAAAAAUACAGAGCUAUCAAACGGGGCAAGAGUUUUUGGCACUGUUCAUAAUAAAGGAGUUUUUGCACUAA
This is a long non-coding RNA of Brachypodium distachyon (stiff brome), 3429 nucleotides long. RefSeq lists it as uncharacterized. NCBI's taxonomy places the organism in Eukaryota, Viridiplantae, Streptophyta, Magnoliopsida, Poales, Poaceae. The record is from RefSeq and is a predicted model, not a curated record. The transcript has 2 exons.